UCUUCCCCACACCGCCGACCCGCCCGGCGCCGCCCCGACGCACCCGCCGCACCCUCAGCAGGCUCCUACCGGCACGCCGACGCUGCAGCACUGCAGGCCGUCUCCCUGCCGCAGGCGGCGACCGUCGCGCUGGCGUCGUGGGGCCCUCCCAUGCAGGCCGCCGCAUACGGGUACGGGCAGCGCCUCCGCCGCCCCAUACGGGAAGGACAGGAAAUACCGAGAAGGUUUUCAUGUAUUUUAUUGGAGAUCCAACAGGAAUUAUGCUCAUCUACACACCAUCCAACCCAAUGUGGGUCCUUCGGUAUCUGACUAUACAGAGUCUCGAAUAUUUCUCUUUGAUUACUAUCUGACUAUACAGAGUCUUCUAUUGUUGCCCUGUACUUCUAAAUUUCUAUUUUUAAGAUUAAUAUCUGAAGAAGUGAGUCUCACUUUUGUUAUCCUUAAGUUAUGAUUUA
Molecule: long non-coding RNA, 455 nt
Organism: Brachypodium distachyon (stiff brome)
Lineage: Eukaryota; Viridiplantae; Streptophyta; Magnoliopsida; Poales; Poaceae
Exons: 2
Source: RefSeq, a predicted model, not a curated record